RNAcentral lists this transfer RNA (72 nucleotides) under Aeoliscus strigatus (razorfish). RNAcentral describes it as "tRNA-Thr". It matches the Rfam family "tRNA". From Rfam's summary of the family: Transfer RNA (tRNA) molecules are approximately 80 nucleotides in length. Their secondary structure includes four short double-helical elements and three loops (D, anti-codon, and T loops). Further hydrogen bonds mediate the characteristic L-shaped molecular structure. tRNAs have two regions of fundamental functional importance: the anti-codon, which is responsible for specific mRNA codon recognition, and the 3' end, to which the tRNAs corresponding amino acid is attached (by aminoacyl-tRNA synthetases). tRNAs cope with the degeneracy of the genetic code in two manners: having more than one tRNA (with a specific anti-codon) for a particular amino acid; and 'wobble' base-pairing, i.e. permitting non-standard base-pairing at the 3rd anti-codon position. Lineage: Eukaryota; Metazoa; Chordata; Actinopteri; Syngnathiformes; Centriscidae. The record is from RNAcentral.
GCAUGAGUAGCUCAGGGCAGAGCGCCGGCCUUGUAAGCCGGAGGCCGAGGGUUAGUUCUCCCUCCUCGUGCU